AAAAAAAAAAAAAAACGCGGUCAAACCAAAACCAAACCAAACCCCUCGGCGGCUAAAGCCCUAGCUCUCUCCCGCCGCCGUCGAGUGGAGGUCAGGAGCCCAUGGCCAUGGAGCACCUGCGGUGGCGCCCCACGGUGAACGAGCGCGACUUCAUCGAGAGCGCACUCCAGUCCGACCUCCGCGUCGACGGCCGCCGCUCCUUCGACUUCCGCCGCCUCAAGAUCGCCUUCGGCAGAGAGGACGGCUCGUCGGAGGUGCAGCUCGGGGAGACGCGCGUGAUGGGAUACGUGACCGCGCAGCUGGUGCAGCCCUACAGGGACAGGCCUAACGAGGGGACGCUGGCCAUAUUCACUGAGUUCUCGCCCAUGGCCGAUCCUGCCUUCGAUCCCGGGCGGCCUGGGGAAUCAGCAAUUGAGCUUGGCCGAGUCAUCGACCGCGGCCUGAGGGAGAGCCGAGCCGUGGACAUGGAGUCGCUGUGUGUUAUUGCCGGGAAGCAUGUCUGGUCUAUGCGUGUCGACCUUCACAUUUUGGAUAACGGAGGGAAUCUCAUUGAUGCUGCCAACAUUGCUGCAUUGGCAGCUUUGUCUACUUUCCGGAGGCCUGAAUGCACGGUUGGUGGGGAAGAUGGUCAGCAAGUAACAGUGCAUGAUCCUGAGGUUAGGGAUCCACUACCUCUAACGAUUCAUCAUCUUCCCAUAGCUGUAACCUUUGCCUAUUUUGGUGAAGGUAACGUCGUGGUUGUUGAUCCAACAUACAAGGAAGAAGCAAUUAUGGGAGGGAGGAUGACUGCUACAAUUAACUUGAAUGGUGAUGUUUGUGCCAUCCAGAAACCUGGUGGAGAGGGUGUUAUGUCAAGUGUCAUCAUGCAGUGUUUAAGAAUUGCUUCAGUUAAGGCUGCUGAUAUAACAAGCAAAAUAAAGAACGCAGUAGACUCAUACACCGCCGAGAAAGCUUUAAAGAAAGUAAAGCGUUUGCCAGCCUCAGUGCCUCAGAAGAUUAAUGUUCCUGAUGUAACUAUGGAGGACAAAGGUGAUGGUGAAUUGGAAAGGCAAACUGUGAAGACACUCAGUUAUGUUCAGCAGAUAAGCAAAGGUGAUCCAGCAACCAUGGUUGAGGCGAAUAACCAUGAAGAUGCCAAACUAAUGUUAACUGAAUCUAACACUGAGGUGAAAAGCACAUCAGGCUCUGGGGCUGCUGGAGAGUCUGACGAGGCCCAGGAAGUUAGAUCACCAAAGAGUCUAAAAGGUGCUGUCAAACCAAAACAUAAAAGAAAGAAGAAAAAAAGUGACAGGAGCUAGCUUAGCUCUAAUUCUGUAACUUCUAGGCCUGUCAGUGUUGAUUAGCCUGAUGACUUCCUGCUAUAGUUGAGGGAUCUUCAUCGGAGGGUGGUGUACUGCUACGCAUUGGCUUCUUAUGUGUUUUGAAGUGUCAGAAAUUAGCAGUGGUGACCACAUGCAAAUUUUGUUCAAGCUGUAGAACAGCGUUGUAGAAAUGGUUUUCCCAGUUGACUUUUCAUAUCAAGUUCCGUGACAAGCCGUCCAACUCUUGCUUGUGUCAGUCCAUGGGAGAGCUGGGCAAUGUUCUCGUACCGUCAUUCGUAGCAUGGGCAAUCCUUGCUUCGUUGUCCUAUUGGGCAAUGGUACCGUUCUAGAAAUUUGUUUAAAGGUUUAGAGAAAUAUUGCAUUCCAACAACCUUUAAACCAUCCGUUUUAUUUGCUCUUCUCAAGGUUGUUGCGUGCAACUCUUUGCUGAAAAAUGACCUUGACAAGAGGCUGCCUUCCUGUACCCAACCAUCAGCAUCAGGCCACGAGCCCCAAUUUGAUCCGUGAAGAGCCAGGCCGUCCGCAAC
Molecule: RNA transcript, 1849 nt
Organism: Phragmites australis (common reed)
Lineage: Eukaryota; Viridiplantae; Streptophyta; Magnoliopsida; Poales; Poaceae
Gene name: exosome complex component RRP45B-like
Exons: 10
Source: RefSeq, a predicted model, not a curated record